This 443-nucleotide ribosomal RNA is filed under the name uncultured bacterium. RNAcentral describes it as "partial 16S ribosomal RNA". It matches the Rfam family "Bacterial small subunit ribosomal RNA", at positions 338 to 795 of the family's 1533-position model. The record is from RNAcentral.
CCUACGGGUGGCUGCAGUGGGGAAUAUUGGGCAAUGGGCGCAAGCCUGACCCAGCAACGCCGCGUGAAGGAAGAAGGCUUUCGGGUUGUAAACUUCUUUUCUGAGGGACGAAGAAAGUGACGGUACCGCAGGAAUAAGCCACGGCUAACUACGUGCCAGCAGCCGCGGUAAUACGUAGGUGGCAAGCGUUAGCCGGAUUUGUUGGGUGUAAAGGGCGUGUAGGCGGGAAAGCAAGUCAGAGGUGAAAACUCAGGGCUCAACCCUUAGCCUGUAUUUGAAACUGUGUUUCUUGAGUGCUGGAGAGGCCAUCGGAAUUCCGUGUGUAGCGGUGAAAUGCGUCGAUCUACGGCGGAACACCAGUGGCGAAGGCGGAUUGCUGGACAGUACCUGACGCUGAGGCGCGAAAGCGUGGGGAGCAAACAGGAUUAGCUACCCGAGUAGUC